UAACGCGAAGAACCUUACCAAGGCUUGACAUGCACGGAAAUCUGUCAGAGAUGGCAGGUCCUUUAAAGGGUCGUGCAUAGGUGGUGCAUGGUUGUCGUCAGCUCGUGUCGUGAGAUGUUGGGUUAAGUCCCGCAACGAGCGCAACCCUCGUUCUAUGUUGCCAGCACGUGAUGGUGGGGACUCAUAGGAGACUGCCGGGGUCAACUCGGAGGAAGGUGGGGAUGACGUCAAAUCAUCAUGCCCCUUAUGUCUAGGGCUGCAAACAUGCUACAAUGGCCGGUACAAAGGGCUGCGAUACCGCGAGGUGGAGCGAAUCCCAAAAAGCCGGUCUCAGUUCGGAUUGGGGUCUGCAACUCGACCCCAUGAAGUUGGAGUCGCUAGUAAUCGCAGAUCAGCAACGCUGCGGUGAAUACGUUCCCGGGUCUUGUACACACCGA
This 437-nucleotide ribosomal RNA is filed under the name uncultured bacterium. RNAcentral describes it as "bacterial SSU rRNA". It matches the Rfam family "Bacterial small subunit ribosomal RNA", at positions 957 to 1393 of the family's 1533-position model. The record is from RNAcentral.